This 255-nucleotide ribosomal RNA is filed under the name uncultured bacterium. RNAcentral describes it as "partial 16S ribosomal RNA". It matches the Rfam family "Bacterial small subunit ribosomal RNA", at positions 524 to 776 of the family's 1533-position model. The record is from RNAcentral.
UACGGAGGGGGCUAGCGUUGUUCGGAAUUACUGGGCGUAAAGCGCGCGUAGGCGGACCUGCAAGUCGGGGGUGAAAGCCCGAGGCUCAACCUCGGAACUGCCUUCGAUACUGCGGGUCUCGAGUCCGGGAGAGGUGAGUGGGAAUUCCUAGUGUAGAGGUGAAAUUCGUAGAUAUUAGGAAGAACACCAGUGGCGAAGGCGGCUCACUGGCCCCGGUACUGACGCUGAGGCGCGAAAGCGUGGGGAGCAAACAGG